GACGAACGCUGGCGGCGUGCUUAACACAUGCAAGUCGAACGGAAAGGCCCUGCUUUUGUGGUGUGCUCGAGUGGCGAACGGGUGAGUAACACGUGAGUAACCUGCCCUUGACUUUGGGAUAACUUCAGGAAACUGGGGCUAAUACCGGAUAGGAGCUCCUGCUGCAUGGUGGGGGUUGGAAAUUUUCGGCGGUUGGGGAUGGACUCGCGGCUUAUCAGCUUGUUGGUGGGGUAGUGGCUUACCAAGGCUUUGACGGGUAGCCGGCCUGAGAGGGUGACCGGCCACAUUGGGACUGAGAUACGGCCCAGACUCCUACGGGAGGCAGCAGUGGGGAAUAUUGCACAAUGGGCGGAAGCCUGAUGCAGCAACGCCGGGUGCGGGAUGACGGCCUUCGGGUUGUAAACCGCUUUCGCCUGUGACGAAGCGUGAGUGACGGUAAUGGGUAAAGAAGCACCGGCUAACUACGUG
Molecule: ribosomal RNA, 468 nt
Filed under: uncultured bacterium
Lineage: Bacteria
Description: partial 16S ribosomal RNA
Rfam family: Bacterial small subunit ribosomal RNA
Source: RNAcentral